Magnolia sinica is the source of this 605-nucleotide long non-coding RNA. RefSeq lists it as uncharacterized. Lineage: Eukaryota; Viridiplantae; Streptophyta; Magnoliopsida; Magnoliales; Magnoliaceae. The transcript has 2 exons. The record is from RefSeq and is a predicted model, not a curated record.
AUCUCUUUUACGUCCCUCACACCUUGCUCUUCCCUCACCUCUACAAAAGCGUACCGUUCCUGGACCUAACCCACUUUGUCCUCCGGUCGACUGUAGGGAGCUAUUUCAGAUCCGAUUCCCCUUCUCAAAUAUCACCAAUCCUGAAUGCAGGUUAUACUCCAUCAAUUGCAACAAUGUCAGAAAACCAACCAUCCAAUUUGAGGAUCUGGGGAGGUCGUACGUAGUCAAAGAUAUCUUGUAUCGUGAAAGGACGAUUGUAAUUCAAGACGAGGGAUUCUACAAUCACUCGCAGUCCGACUUAUGUUGUGAAGGCCGCAUUCUCUAAUAUUGGCCAGAGGAUCUACAACUUCAUUAUCUACCACCUCUUCAACAGCAUGAUUGUUUGGUCACUCAUUUUCCAUUACCUCUACCGGAGCUCGACCCAAAUGUGCCGAAGGACCUCUUUAGUCCAUUGGGAUUGGGUUUCCAUCUUCAAUGGACUCGGACCCAAGAAUGCAUUCCAUGUUACGAAAGAAGAGGAGGCUUUUGUAGUCGACACAAUUCUACCAGGGACUACAUUUGUUCAGACCCAACUAAUCCCCAUGGUAAUUACUUAUAUAUAUAAA